Long non-coding RNA from Oreochromis aureus, 986 nucleotides. Lineage: Eukaryota; Metazoa; Chordata; Actinopteri; Cichliformes; Cichlidae. The record is from Ensembl.
CUUUUCACUCUGUUGUUUUGUUUCAAGUUGUACACUUUGUUUGUCUACCUUGUGGCUUCCUGUACGUUAGUUUUGGAUUCUUGGAACUUUAAAAAAAAAAAAAUCAAUAUUAUUAUCUCUCUUCACUGUGGAUUUGCCGCACUCAUAUUUAAGCUUUGGAGUUUUCCGCCAACAGCACGGGGGUGGACCAGUGCGCAGGCCAAGAGGCGGGAGAACCAGACAUCGCCAGUUAACGCUUUAAGGUGUCAGUACUAAGGAAUCCGACACUGACCCACUACCGAUCUCAUAGGGAUGCCACUCCUGCUACUCGGGUGUCGUUCCUGUAAACCUCAAUGCCGCUGAAUUCAGGCAGGCACUACGGGACAAUAUUGCAGACAUACCUUUGCAGUUCGAUCUAUGCAAAGUGAAUGGACAGCGGCUCAUUCUUCCUCUUGAAGAGGAGACGCCCAAGAAAUUAGAGCAAGAAACCUACUGGGUCGCUCCAAUCUUUAUAUCCGUCCAAAGAUUACAGAAGCCAAUGACGACUCAACUGGUGGAGAAGUGGUGCAGUCUGAAAUGGCAAUUGUGCUGCAUGACACAGAGACACCUGACCAUGGCAGGCACAAUGUACAGGAGCCAGAGGUUAUCAGUGGUCUGCAUGAAAACCAUACAGCUAAUUCUAGUAGGCCUGGUCUCCAGGAACCAGAGGUUAACAGGGAAGAGUUUUACAUCGACUCUGCAGAGUCAGAAGUAUCAGACCUGGAUGAGGCUGUCCUGGCUUCCCCUGAACAAAAUGAUUCACAUGAUGAGAUGGACCUUGCUACUGUCCUGAAAGACUUCCAGGAAACGCAUCUUGACACCAGCAAUUAUUGUACAGUAAUAGCCCGACGAAGGAAAAUCCUACAUAGUGCCUGCAUGGCACUUUCAAGUCAUAUUUUGCCUGGCAUAAAUUACCAAACAUUGAAUUCGUUGGUGAAAUGGCCGAUGAUUAUGGAGGCCCAAGGCGG